GUGCUCAAUUCAGCAUCACAUACACUCACAUUGGAACGAUACAGAGAUUAGCAUGGAACCUGCACAAGGAUGACAUGCAAAUUCGUGGAGCGUUCCAUAUUUUU
Small nuclear RNA from Dipodomys spectabilis (banner-tailed kangaroo rat), 104 nucleotides. The record is from RefSeq and is a predicted model, not a curated record. Lineage: Eukaryota; Metazoa; Chordata; Mammalia; Rodentia; Heteromyidae.